Molecule: transfer RNA, 65 nt
Filed under: Hippopus hippopus
Lineage: Eukaryota; Metazoa; Mollusca; Bivalvia; Cardiida; Cardiidae
Description: tRNA-Arg
Source: RNAcentral
AGAAAGGUAGCAUAAGUUUAAUGCGGUUGUUUUCGGCACGAUCGAUAGGAAGUUCCUCCUUUCUU